CAAUAGCGUAUAUUAAAGUUGUUGCGGUUAAAAAGCUCGUAGUUGGAUUUCUGCUGAGAACGACCGGUCCGCCCUUUGGGUGUGUAUCUGGCUCUUUCUUGGCAUCUUCUUGGUGAACGUUGCUGCACUUGACUGUGUGGAGCGCUACCCAGGACUUUUACUUUGAGGGAAUUAGAGUGUUUCAAGCAGGCAUACGCCUUGAAUACAUUAGCAUGGAAUAAUAAGAUAGGACCUCGGUUCUAUUUUGUUGGUUUCUAGAGCUGAGGUAAUGAUUAAUAGGGAUAGUUGGGGGCAUUCGUAUUUAACUGUCAGAGGUGAAAUUCUUGGAUUUGUUAAAGACGGACUACUGCGAANGNAUUUGCNAAGGAUGUUUNCAUUG
RNAcentral lists this ribosomal RNA (379 nucleotides) under uncultured eukaryote. Its description in RNAcentral is "partial 18S ribosomal RNA". It matches the Rfam family "Eukaryotic small subunit ribosomal RNA", at positions 592 to 975 of the family's 1831-position model. The record is from RNAcentral.